GACGGAGGAUGCAAGCGUUAUCCGGAAUGAUUGGGCGUAAAGCGUCCGCAGGUGGCAGUUCAAGUCUGCUGUCAAAGACCGGGGCUUAACUUCGGAAAGGCAGUGGAAACUGAACAGCUAGAGUAUGGUAGGGGCAGAGGGAAUUUCCGGUGGAGCGGUGAAAUGCGUAGAGAUCGGAAAGAACACCAACGGCGAAGGCACUCUGCUGGGCCGACACUGACACUGAGAGACGAAAGCUAGGGGAGCGAAUGGG
Molecule: ribosomal RNA, 253 nt
Filed under: uncultured bacterium
Lineage: Bacteria
Description: partial 16S ribosomal RNA
Rfam family: Bacterial small subunit ribosomal RNA
Source: RNAcentral